GAAUCAAUAUGUCGGUCGUGCCUCGGUACGUACUGGCUUAUUGGUUUCUCCUUUCUGAAGAACCAUGAUGUCAUUUAUUUGGUGUCGCGGGAAAUCAGGACUGUUACUUUGAAAAAUUAGAGUGUUUAAAGCAGGCUCACGCUUGAAUACAUUAGCAUGGAAUAAUGAAAUAGGACGUUUGAUUCUAUUUUGUUGGUUUCUAGGAUCGACGUAAUGAUAAUAGGG
RNAcentral lists this ribosomal RNA (225 nucleotides) under uncultured Glomeromycotina. Its description in RNAcentral is "partial small subunit ribosomal RNA". The stretch from base 45 to 225 matches the Rfam family "Eukaryotic small subunit ribosomal RNA", at positions 693 to 877 of the family's 1831-position model. The record is from RNAcentral. Lineage: Eukaryota; Fungi; Glomeromycota.